UAGAUCAAUUCAGCAGCAACAUGUAUCAAAUUAAAAUUAUGCAGAAAAGAUUAGCCUGCCCCUGCAGAAGGAUAAUACACAAAGUGACGAAACGCUCUGUACUUUG
This is a small nuclear RNA of Hemiscyllium ocellatum (epaulette shark), 106 nucleotides long. The record is from RefSeq and is a predicted model, not a curated record. Lineage: Eukaryota; Metazoa; Chordata; Chondrichthyes; Orectolobiformes; Hemiscylliidae.